This 544-nucleotide small RNA is filed under the name Pongo abelii (Sumatran orangutan). Its description in RNAcentral is "retained intron". Lineage: Eukaryota; Metazoa; Chordata; Mammalia; Primates; Hominidae. The record is from RNAcentral.
CCCCUCCGGCAGGCUGCCGCCAGCGUCGCUGCGGCUCCGGCCCGGGAGCGAGCGCCCGGAGCUCGGAAGGAGGCGGCGCCCGCGGCGGCCUGGGGGUCUCGGGGGAUCCGGGGGUCUCCGGCUGCUCCUCUGCCUCCUGCUGCUGAGCAGCCGCCCGGGGGCUGCAGCGCCGUUAGUGCCCACGGCUGUCUAUUUGACCGCAGGCUCUGCUCUCACCUGGAAGUCUGUAUUCAGGGUGAGUGAGGCCCAAGCAUAGAACUCACAAGAUCGGGGGGAGAGGGGCAAUAAAAAACAAGAAGGGGAGAGAAGGCCCAGAAAGGAAGAGGGCUACUGGGCUUGAGAAGAAGGAAGACUUGCCUGGAGGAGGAGAGGUAGGGGAGGAGGUGAAGAGAGUACUGUCCAUUUGCAACCUGGACUUUGGAAGGCCUCUUAUUCAAGCCCCCUGCUGACACCACUUUUGUGCCCUUAGAUGGCUUGUUUGGGCAGUGCCAGGUGGGAGUGGGGCAGGCCCGGCCCCUUUUGCAAGUCACCUCCCCGGUUCUCC